UAGCUGUUGUUGAUCGGAGUAAAGGUUGUUUGGAGGAGUUUAUUGCGAGAGUAGCAUAUAUCUUUUCCCAUCUCCCUGUCGACUUUUACAAAGAAUUGCAGAGAGGUAUUAAUUUCUUUUGUGUAAAAAUCAUGUAAGAUAUAAUCAUAACCAGCUAUUUUACCUCGAGAUUUGGGUUUAUCAUCACCUAUUAUCUCAGCUCAAAUUUUUACUAUUUGUAUAUUAUCAAUUGAUUAUUCAUUUCACUUUUUUUUCAUUCAUAGAUGUUUUCAUCUGAAAGUACUAAAUCUUGGACAUAGAUUCGGUGCUGAUGAACAUGAUUUUAUCGAAGCUUGUAAGUAUUUUCCAUUAUUGGAAGUUCUUGAUUGCGUAAAUACCAAAUUUAGUGAAGUUGGAAUUGAAUCAAUUGGCUGUUCAUGUCCAAAUCUGAAAUAUUUUGGCUUCCGUAAUAAUCUUUUUAUUGAAUCACAAUAUGAAUUCAAUAAUUCUUUAGCACUUAAUUGCUAUGACAAAACAUAUGCGUGGUUUGCACAAAUUGAAAAUUGGCGAAGACAUGAUGGAUGAUGAUGGUUUGCUGGCCAUUCUCGAUGCAUGCUCUCAUCUUCAAUUAUUAAUUGUUCGUAAUUGCCUCUAUCUUAAAUUCAGAAAAAAUCUGGAAGAGACGUUGAUCAAAAUUAAAUUAAAAUAUUAUAACGUUCUCGACUAUGAUUUUGAUUCUCGAUAAAAAUCAAAAAAUUACGAUUCGAAGUACGUGAUUGAAUCAUUUGAUAAUUUUGAUUUCGAAGAUCGAUUUGAUUUUUAUAAAUGUUACCUGAACAAUAUUGUGUAAUUAUUUUGAUGGAUUAUUAUUCUCCCGCAUGGAUUAAAGUUUGGAAUAAGUAAUGUAUUUUUGAAUGAUUAAAUGUAUUCAUGGUUAAUUUCUUAUUUUUCAAUGGUUUUAUUAAUGAUUAAUUAGGGGUCAAAUCAUGUGAAAUAUUUGAUGAUGAGAUAAUAUAAGAUAUCUGAUAAUGUUCGUAUAUUACUAUCUUGAAAUUUAGGUUUAUCAUGCAUACGCACACAUUAUCCAGAUUUUGAAACACGAUUGAUCGAGAUCUAAAUGAUUGUUGGUGAUUUAAUAUAUAUAUAUAUAUAUAUAUAUAUAUUAAAUCACCAACAAUCAUUUAGAUCUCGAUCAAUCGUGUUUCAAAAUCUGGAUAAUGUGUGCGUAUGCAUGAUAAACCUAAAUUUCAAAGAUUAAGGUUAUAUAAGGUGAAAGUCAUAUUUUCAAUAAUACUAGUUAAUUAACUAUUAACCUAAUUAUAUCAAGCAAGUUUUACGUGCAAUAAUGGAUGGUUGGAUUAUAUAUAUAUAUAUAUAUAUAUAUAUAUAUAUUGCACGUAAAACUUGAUAUAAUUAGGUUAAUAGUUAAUUAACUAGUAUUAUUGAAAAUAUGACUUUCACCUUAUAUAACCUUAAUCUUUGCAACUAAAAUCCGAAUCUGUCUUGUCGUUCAAUUGAGUACACAUUGAUAAAAUCCAAUGAUUUGAUCUCAUAUCAGAGGAUUUUAAUCCAAUCGGUGUCAAUGAACGGGGCCAAAUAUUCACCCUAAACACCCUAUAUGCUAGCUAAACCCAAGUAUCGGAGCCAAACCCAUACUUACCCUUACCUAUAUGCGAGCUUUCAGAAUGACGGAGUAUUCACAUGAAGAAGAGAGAAAGAGAGAAUGAAUCGAACACUUCCUUAUUCCAUCAAUAAACUAUGUUUAUAUUGAGUUACAUUUAUGAUUUAGUUACUAACCUAAGUUAGUUAUCUUAACUGCCCAGUUUUUCCAAUAUGAACAUUUUAACUAUAAAAUACGACACAUGCCAUCAUAAAUGAAUUUUAAUUUUAUAAUCUAAAAUACAUGGUAUCUAAAUGUAUUACCACUCUUUCAAGAAUAAUAACGAAAAUUAUAAAGCGAAAAUUCUAUAGAAUCGUAAUUAACGAAAUCAUUGACUAGAAAGCUAUAAUAUUUAAAAUGAAUUUUACCAGAUAUAUUUUUAAGCUUUUCUCCGAUCUUAAUGUUCAAGCAAUUACGUAUGCGGAGAGAAGAGAUCAACUUCAAGAAUAGAAAGCAAACCAACGACUUAAAACUAUUUGGCACAUUCGGCACACCAG
This 2136-nucleotide long non-coding RNA is filed under the name Zostera marina. RNAcentral's name for it is "long non-coding RNA (ZMAR_LNC005468)". Lineage: Eukaryota; Viridiplantae; Streptophyta; Magnoliopsida; Alismatales; Zosteraceae. The record is from RNAcentral.